GCCUCCUUCGGGACACGUGCACAGGUGCUGCAUGGCUGUCGUCAGCUCGUGUCGUGAGAUGUUGGGUUAAGUCCCGCAACGAGCGCAACCCUUGCCCCGUGUUGCCAACAGGUAAAGCUGGGAACUCUCGGGGGACUGCCGGCGUCAAGCCGGAGGAAGGUGGGGACGACGUCAAGUCAUCAUGGCCCUUACGCCCAGGGCUACACACGUGCUACAAUGGCAGGGACAGAGGGCUGCAAGAGCGCGAGCUGGAGCGAAUCCCACAAACCCUGUCUAAGUUCGGAUUGCAGGCUGCAACUCGCCUGCAUGAAGCCGGAAUCGCUAGUAAUCGCGGAUCAGCUACGCCGCGGUGAAUACGUUCCCGGGCCUUGUACACACCGCCCGUCACGCCAUGGAAGCCGGGAGUGCCCAAAGUCCGUGUCCUAACCGCAAGGAGGGAGCGGCCCAAGGCAAGCUCGGUGACUGGGGCGAAGUCGUAACAAGGUAGCCGUAGGGGAACC
RNAcentral lists this ribosomal RNA (500 nucleotides) under uncultured bacterium. RNAcentral's name for it is "bacterial SSU rRNA". It matches the Rfam family "Bacterial small subunit ribosomal RNA", at positions 1013 to 1512 of the family's 1533-position model. The record is from RNAcentral.